Non-coding RNA from Myodes glareolus (Bank vole), 1258 nucleotides. Lineage: Eukaryota; Metazoa; Chordata; Mammalia; Rodentia; Cricetidae. The record is from RefSeq and is a predicted model, not a curated record.
CUACAUACAGAGUGAGUUCCAAGUCAGCCAGGCCUACACAAAUAAACCCUGUCACAAAAAGCAAAAACAAAAGAAAGAAAGAAAUCCCUCAUAGGUUUACCCAGUUAAUUCCAGAUGGAGUCAAGUUAACAACCAAAAAAUAAGCCGUCAAAAUCCACCCCUUGUCAACUUGAUACACAAUCAUCUCCUUAUGCCAUGCUUUAUUUCCAAGUGAAAACAUUAACCAGGUCCUAAUUGUGCCUAGCAUGAUAAAGCUAUCUCAUAUACAAUUGUUAAUACAUUAUAUAUCUAACCAGAUCAUAAUUAUGCCUAUCAUGAUAAAACUAUCUCAUAUAUAAUUUUUAAUGCAUUAUAUAUUUAACCAGGUCAUAAUUAUGCCUAACAUGAUAAAACUAUCUCAUAUGCAAUUGUUAAUGCAUUAUAUAUUUAACCAGGUCAUAAUUAUGCCUAGCAUUAUAUCCCUCAUACAACCCCAAAUGAAUUAUAAAUUUUAGGAUAGGUGACAAUGUCCCUUAAGGGACAUUCUUUUUAAAUAUAUUAACCACUGAUAUUCUCUUAAUUGGUGUCCACAGAAGAGGUCAUCCUAUCCACUUUGUUAUUGAACUCCUCUGCUGAAGUCACGUUUGAUGAGCAUGUACAUGGGACACAGUUCAGGGUACCAUGAAGUCCAGGAGGACAACAGCAUCAGUUCCUGUCUUUGACAACAGAAGCCUGCCUGCUCACAUCCUGGGAAGUCAUGAAAGAUGCCAGAGAUCAGUUGGCUUCUCCUCUUCCCCUUUUUAUUUGGGUCAGGACUCCAGGCCAUGGAAGAUGCCACACAAGUUCAGAGACAGUCUUCCCCUUCUUUCUGACUCUUCUCUGGAAAAACCCUCAGGCACUGGAAGGUAUGCUUUAUUGACAGAUACCUCAGAUGUUUCUUACUUGUCAGUUGAAAUGAACCAUGAUAAUUUCUGAAUUAUGGGACUGGAAACUAAUAGUGUUGGCUGUCAACUUGAUUGGCUCUGUAAUCAGCUAAGCAAUAUGACUCCUCAUUGUUCCAGAGUGGGCGUCACUUUCCAGUAGUGUCCCAGAGAAAAGUAGUGCUGCUGUUGCUUGUCUGCCUUUGCACCUUGCUGGUCAGUAUAUCUACUACUGUGUUGCUGUUGCUGCUGCUAUCACCUUCACUGACUUCAGAACCCAUCUUCUUCAGCCUUCUAACAAACUGAAGACUAACACUCUCCAAGAAUCCUCCAGGCUUCAGGACCAGAUUGGGAAUGUG